This 253-nucleotide ribosomal RNA is filed under the name uncultured bacterium. RNAcentral describes it as "partial 16S ribosomal RNA". It matches the Rfam family "Bacterial small subunit ribosomal RNA", at positions 524 to 776 of the family's 1533-position model. The record is from RNAcentral.
UACGGAGGGUGCAAGCGUUAAUCGGAAUUACUGGGCGUAAAGCGCGCGUAGGCGGUUUGAUAAGUUGGUUGUGAAAGCCCCGGGCUUAACCUGGGAGGGUCAAUCAAGACUGUCAGACUAGAAUAUAGUAGAGGAGUGUGGAAUUUCCGGUGUAGCGGUGAAAUGCGUAGAGAUCGGAAGGAACACCAGUGGCGAAGGCGGCACUCUGGACUAAUAUUGACGCUGAGGUGCGAAAGCGUGGGGAGCAAACAGG